Molecule: ribosomal RNA, 663 nt
Filed under: uncultured bacterium
Lineage: Bacteria
Description: bacterial SSU rRNA
Rfam family: Bacterial small subunit ribosomal RNA
Source: RNAcentral
UAGCUAACGCGUGAAGUCAGCCGCCUGGGGAGUACGGUCGCAAGAUUAAAACUCAAAGGAAUUGACGGGGACCCGCACAAGCGGUGGAUGAUGUGGAUUAAUUCGAUGCAACGCGAAAACCCUUACCUACCCUUGACAUGUCACUAACGAAGUAGAGAUACAUUAGGUGCCCGUAAGGGAAAGUGAACACAGGUGCUGCAUGGCUGUCGUCAGCUCGUGUCGUGAGAUGUUGGGUUAAGUCCCGCAACGAGCGCAACCCUUGUCUUUAGUUGCUACGCAAGAGCACUCUAAAGAGACUGCCGGUGACAAACCGGAGGAAGGUGGGGAUGACGUCAAGUCCUCAUGGCCCUUAUGGGUAGGGCUUCACACGUCAUACAAUGGUGCAUACAGAGGGUUGCCAACCCGCGAGGGGGAGCUAAUCUCAGAAAAUGCAUCGUAGUCCGGAUCGUAGUCUGCAACUCGACUACGUGAAGCUGGAAUCGCUAGUAAUCGCGGAUCAGAAUGUCGCGGUGAAUACGUUCCCGGGUCUUGUACACACCGCCCGUCAUACCAUGGGAGUGGGUUUUGCCAGAAGCCGUUAGCCUAACCGCAAGGAGGGCGACUGCCACGGCAGGGUUCAUGACUGGGGUAAAGUCGUAACAAGGUAGCCGUAUCGGAAGGUGC